This 92-nucleotide transfer RNA is filed under the name Yersinia enterocolitica. RNAcentral describes it as "tRNA-Asp(gtc)". The record is from RNAcentral. Lineage: Bacteria; Pseudomonadati; Pseudomonadota; Gammaproteobacteria; Enterobacterales; Yersiniaceae.
GGGCGUUGCCGGGGCAAUUUGACGCUAUAUUUUGUCGUAAUGUGAUGAUUUAUUUUGAUAAAGAAACGCAGGAGCGCAUUCUGCGUCGCUUU